This 200-nucleotide unclassified non-coding RNA is filed under the name soil metagenome. Its description in RNAcentral is "partial contains internal transcribed spacer 2 and large subunit ribosomal RNA". The record is from RNAcentral.
UUUGCCGGCAUCACUGUCAGCUCCUCUUAAAUGCAUUAGCGGAACUUUAUUGAGGACCAGCUUUGGUUUGAUAAUCCUAUCUAUGCCGUCGCUGUGGACUUUGCCUGUUCAGCUUCUAAUGGUCUUCGGACUGUCUCUCCAAUGAGGCAUACACUUUUAAGCUUGACCUCAAAUCAGGUAGGACUACCCGCUGAACUUAA